This 26-nucleotide non-coding RNA is filed under the name Homo sapiens (human). Lineage: Eukaryota; Metazoa; Chordata; Mammalia; Primates; Hominidae. The record is from RNAcentral.
AUGCCCAGGAGGAACAAAGGGUGUGC